GUACAAACGCUGUAAUAAUCACAUAAGACGAAAAGACCCUAUGGAGCUUCAAACCCCUAUACUACCGGAAGUGUAAACCAGAACCCACCUAGUAUAUAUUUUUAGUUGGGGCAACUACGGAGCAAAACAAAAACUCCAUGACCAAGCACAUAACAAGUGCACACCUCUUGGCCGCCACGCCACAUUAAUACCCGACCCAGUAUAACUGACCAUCGAACCAAGUUACCCUAGGGAUAACAGCGCCAUCUUCCCCCAAGAGCCCAUAUCAACGGGGAGGCUUACGACCUCGAUGUUGGAUCAGGACCCCCAGGCGGUGCAGCCGCUGCCAAAGGUUCGUUUGUUCAACGACUAACGUCCUACGUGAUCUG
RNAcentral lists this ribosomal RNA (368 nucleotides) under Lygodactylus guibei. RNAcentral's name for it is "partial large subunit ribosomal RNA". It matches the Rfam family "Bacterial large subunit ribosomal RNA", at positions 2076 to 2607 of the family's 2925-position model. The record is from RNAcentral. Lineage: Eukaryota; Metazoa; Chordata; Lepidosauria; Squamata; Gekkonidae.